Molecule: long non-coding RNA, 567 nt
Organism: Colossoma macropomum (tambaqui)
Lineage: Eukaryota; Metazoa; Chordata; Actinopteri; Characiformes; Serrasalmidae
Exons: 3
Source: RefSeq, a predicted model, not a curated record
AGAAUAUGGUUGAUCAUGUGAACUUCAGGCAGGAUCUGUUGAGAGUACAAGACUGCGAGAGUGCUGGAUAUCAGGAUACAGACUCUCUGUGGAAGAGCAAUGUAUUUAACCCUCAGGCACCUUUCAUGGCCUCAGCUGCCUGGAUGAGCUCAGUGACAGAACCUGCCACCCGCUUGGAGAAGCUCGCCAGCUGCUGCUUCAGCUCGUGAGUGGGUUUUUGGAUGAUCUGCAGAGAGACAGAGACGCAGAGUGCAGCAUGUCGGCGAUGGCUCUUCUGCUCAGGUUGGCCGUGGCAAUCACAUCCUCCUGACGACACGAGUUGCCAGCAGCCACCGCCUUCGCUGUGGCCAGCGUGAUACCUUUGGUCAUGCGGAUAAACUCCUCAGGGGUGGCUGUCUUUGGAGGAGGAUCUGGACUGCUGAACACCUGAGAAAGAACAGCAAACUGGUCACCAAAUAAUAAGUCUCUGGCAUUUAACCUCACAGAAGGACUCUGUAAGAAACUGUAACAAAUGCCCUGUAAUAAUUCACUGAUAAUUUUUGCCCAAUAACAAUAAACAAGAAUGCA